This is a long non-coding RNA of Austrofundulus limnaeus, 299 nucleotides long. RefSeq lists it as uncharacterized. NCBI's taxonomy places the organism in Eukaryota, Metazoa, Chordata, Actinopteri, Cyprinodontiformes, Rivulidae. The record is from RefSeq and is a predicted model, not a curated record. The transcript has 2 exons.
UCUGAGCAGGCCUGCUGGGCUCAGCACAUUGUGGCCUGUCCUCCUUUCUUUGGUUUUCUGCUUUGGAACAAGACAGCUUCUCUCCUUGAAGGACACCUUACUGAGAACAGCCUCAGACGGGAUCUCCUCUGGCUACCUCUGGACAGUUAUUCCUUCUGUAGCCACGCAUCACGUCUCCUCGCAAGAUGAAGAGCUGAAAGAGAUGAAAAGCAGACUCCUGGCUCUCGGGGAGGGGGUGGGGGGAACCCGUUGCAAAGGUAAGAAAUGCGUGGUUUUUGAAAAAAAAAAAAAAAAAAAAA